RNAcentral lists this ribosomal RNA (2941 nucleotides) under Clostridium perfringens. RNAcentral describes it as "23S ribosomal RNA". It matches the Rfam family "Bacterial large subunit ribosomal RNA". The record is from RNAcentral. Lineage: Bacteria; Bacillati; Bacillota; Clostridia; Eubacteriales; Clostridiaceae.
ACAAGCUACAAAGGGCGCAUGUGUGAAUGCCUUGGCAGAUCAGGAGCCGACUGAAGGACGUGAUAAGCUGCGAUAAGCUUCGGUAGGCGCACACAUAGCUGAGAUCCGAAGAUCUCCGAAUGAGGAAACUUUCACAUGUUUUGGAAACCCCAUGAUAUCAUUAACGUGGAACUAUACAUAGCGUAAUGAAGGUAAGCCCAGGGAACUGAAACAUCUAAGUACCUGAGGGAAGAUGGAAAGAAAAAAUCGAGUUUUGCUUAGGAGCGGCGAGCGAAAGGGAAAGAGCCCAAACCGGAAACUUGUUUCCGUUGUGGGACAUAGCAUGAAAGUGGUAGGCUAUUGUAACUGAAGAGAAACUGGAAAGUUCCACCGUAGAAGUGUAAUAGUCCUGUAAGUGAAACGAGGAAGACACGAGUUAUGAUCCAGAGUACCACGAGGACACGUGAAACCUUGUGGGAAGCAGGGAGGACCACCUCCCAAGGCUAAAUACUACCUGAUGACCGAUAGUGAAGCAGUACCGUGAGGGAAAGGUGAAAAGAACGGGAGGGGAGUGAAAUAGAACCUGAAACCGUGUGCCUACAUCGCUCAGAGCCCUUAUGAGGGUGAUGAGGUGCUUUUUGUAGAACGAGCCAACGAGUUACGGUAUGUAGCAAGGUUAAGUACUUAAGGUACGGAGCCGAAGGGAAACCGAGUCUGAAUAGGGCGACUAGUUGCAUGCCGUAGACCGAACCGGGUGACCUAUCCAUGGCCAGGUGAAGCGAGGGUAAAACCUCGUGGAGGACCGAACCACGUUGCUGUUGAAAAAGCAUGGGAUGAGCUGUGGAUACGCGGAGAAAUUCCAAUCGAACCGGAGAUAGCUGGUUCUCUCCGAAAUAGCUUUAGGGCUAGCGUCGAGUGAGAUGAGUAGUGGGAGGUAGAGCACUGAAUGGGCUAGGGGGCAUAGCGCUACCGAACCUUAUCAAACUCCGAAUGCCACAUUACUUUGAGCUCGGCAGUCAGACUACGAAUGAUAAGAUCCGUGGGUCAAAGGGAAACAGCCCAGAUCGUCAGCUAUGGUACCAAAGUGUAAGUUAAGUGGGAAAGGAUGUGAGAUUUCUAAGACAACUAGGUAUGUUGGCUUAGAAGCAGCCAUUCAUUAAAAGAGUGCGUAAUAGCCUCACUAGUCGAGAGAUCUUGCGCCGCGAAAUGUAACGGGCUAAACUUACCACCGAAGCUACGGGCUUGAACAUAGUUCAAGCGUGUAGGAGAGCGUCGUACCGGGCUGAAGUCGUACCGUAAGGAGCGGUGGGACUCGGUACGAGGUGAGAAUGUUGGGCAUCAGUAGCGAGAUGUGGGUGAGAAUCCCACAGGCCGAAAACCUACGGUUUCCUCAGGAAGGUUCGUCCGCUGAGGGUUAGUCGGGACCUAAGCGAGGCCGAAAGGCGUAGGUGAUGGACAACUGGUUGAUAUUCCAGUACCACUACAUCGUUAUUAUCGAUGGCGUGACGCAGGAUGGGAUAGUGUGUGCUAGCUAUUGGAUGCUAGUCUAAGCGUUUAGGCAGUGUAGAGUAGGCAAAUCCGCUCUCAUAAUGCUGAGGCGUGAUGGUGGGAAGGUUCUACGGAACCGAAGUACAUGAUUCCACGCUGCCAAGAAAAGCGUCUAGAGAGAGAAGUAGUGCCCGUACCCGCAACCGACACAGGUAGGUGAGGAGAGAAUCCUAAGGCCGUGCCGGAAGAACUUACAGUUAAGGAACUCGGCAAAUUGACCCCGUAAGUUCGCGAGAAGGGGUGCCUACGAGAGUAGGCCGCAGAGAAUAGGCCCAAGCAACUGUUUAGCAAAAACACAGGUCUCUGCUAAAGCGUAAGCUGAUGUAUAGGGGCUGACGCCUGCCCGGUGCUGGAAGGUUAAGAGGGAACCACUUAGCGCAAGCGAAGGUGUGAACUUAAGCCCCAGUAAACGGCGGCCGUAACUAUAACGGUCCUAAGGUAGCGAAAUUCCUUGUCAGGUAAGUUCUGACCCGCACGAAUGGCGUAAUGACUUGGGCACUGUCUCAACUGUAAAUCCGGCGAAGUUGUAGUGCGAGUGAAGAUGCUCGCUACCCGCGAUUGGACGAAAGACCCCGUAGAGCUUUACUGUAGCUUAGCAUUGAGUUUUGGUAUUGUCUGUACAGGAUAGGUGGGAGACUAGGAAAACCAGGGCGUCAGCCUUGGUGGAGUCAAACCCUUGGGAUACCACCCUGACAGUACUGAAAUUCUAACUGGCGGCCAUGAAUCUGGUCACAGGACAUGUUAGGUGGGCAGUUUGACUGGGGCGGUCGCCUCCUAAAAAGUAACGGAGGCGCCCAAAGGUUCCCUCAGAACGGUCGGAAAUCGUUCGAAGAGUGCAAAGGCAGAAGGGAGCCUGACUGCGACACCCACAAGUGGAGCAGGGACGAAAGUCGGGCUUAGUGAUCCGGUGGUACCUCGUGGGAGGGCCAUCGCUCAACGGAUAAAAGCUACCUCGGGGAUAACAGGCUGAUCUCCCCAAGAGUCCACAUCGACGGGGAGGUUUGGCACCUCGAUGUCGGCUCGUCGCAUCCUGGGGCUGAAGUAGGUCCCAAGGGUUGGGCUGUUUCGCCCAUUAAAGCGGCACGCGAGCUGGGUUCAGAAACGUCGUGAGACAGUUCGGUCCCUAUCCGUCGCGGGCGUAGGAAAUUUGAGAGGAGCUGUCCUUAGUACGAGAGGACCGGGAUGGACUGACCUCUGGUGUACCAGUUGUUCCGCCAGGAGCACAGCUGGGUAGCUAAGUCGGGAAUGGAUAAACGCUGAAAGCAUCUAAGCGUGAAGCCAACCUCAAGAUGAGAUUUCCCAUAGCGUAAGCUAGUAAGAUCCCUUGAAGAACACAAGGUUGAUAGGUCGGGGGUGUAAAGCAUGGUAACAUGUUCAGCUGACCGAUACUAAUAGAUCGAGGGCUUGACCAAAU